AACAGCUGCGGAAUUUUAACUGUACUAAGGUAGCAUAAUAAUUUGCCUUAUAAUUUGAGGCUAGAAUGAAUGGUUUGACGAAGGUUAAUCUGUCUCUAUUUUACUUUUUAGAAAUUAAUUUUCAUAGUGAAAAAGCUUGGAUUUUUUAAAGGGACGAGAAGACCCUAUUGAGCUUAUAAUUUUAUUGUUGUCAGUGAGUAUUAAUUUCACUGUUGGUAUAUAAAUUUUAAUUGGGGUGAUUAAGGAAUAAAGUUUAUAUAUUAAUAACUUCCUUAGAGUUAAUAUUAUUGUUAGAUAAAGUAACCAAUAAAUUGUUAAGAUUAUUGCUUAUACUAUAGUUACCAUAGGGAUAACAGCGUAAUUUAUUUAGAGAGUUCUUAUUGAAAAAUAAGAUUGCGACCUCGAUGUUGGAUUAAAGUAACCUUAAGGUGCAGAAGCUUUAAUAAGGUAAAUCUGUUCGAUUUUUAAAACUUUACGUGAUCUGAGUUCAGAC
Molecule: ribosomal RNA, 493 nt
Filed under: Doryteuthis pleii
Lineage: Eukaryota; Metazoa; Mollusca; Cephalopoda; Myopsida; Loliginidae
Description: partial 16S ribosomal RNA
Rfam family: Bacterial large subunit ribosomal RNA
Source: RNAcentral